UACGUAGGGUGCAAGCGUUGUCCGGAAUUAUUGGGCGUAAAGAGCUCGUAGGCGGCUUGUCGCGUCGGCUGUGAAAACCUGGGGCUCAACCCCGGGCCUGCAGCCGAUACGGGCAAGCCAGAAUUCGGUAGGGGAGACUGGAAUUCCUGGUGUAGCGGUGAAAUGCGCAGAUAUCAGGAGGAACACCCAUGGCGAAGGCAGCUAACUGGGCAUUAUCUGACGCUGAGGCGCGAAAGCGUGGGUAGCAAACAGG
Molecule: ribosomal RNA, 253 nt
Filed under: uncultured bacterium
Lineage: Bacteria
Description: partial 16S ribosomal RNA
Rfam family: Bacterial small subunit ribosomal RNA
Source: RNAcentral